This 791-nucleotide long non-coding RNA is filed under the name Felis catus (domestic cat). RNAcentral's name for it is "lncRNA (ENSFCAG00000051816.1)". Lineage: Eukaryota; Metazoa; Chordata; Mammalia; Carnivora; Felidae. The record is from RNAcentral.
CCGCCCCAGAGCACGUGGGAAGGUUUUUCCUGUUCGUUCUUUCAUUUUUUAAAAGCCCACCCACUUUUGCGCGGGCUUGGUCACAGAGUUCUUCUCGCGAGAGGCGCCGCACCCUCUCGCGAGAGUGAGUGGGAGGUGUGGGGAUUAGGUGGUGUUGCAGACUGGAACUGCGGCGGCGGAAGCCGGGGGUGGGCAGGGCGGGGGCGGGCCCGCGGGGCGGGGAGGCGGGGAGGCGGGGAGGGGGGAGGGCCGGGGGCUGGUGCGGGAGGGGGCGCCCGCCUGCUCGGCGGCUCGCGCGACUGGUCGUUGCGGGCCGGUGACAUGCCUGUGAGCUGCGGAGGCUGCGGCCCCCAGAACUACCCAGGGUUGACCGGGAAUUUCACUGUUGGUUGUGGCUGUAACAGCUCGGUUUAUGAGAGAUCAAAGAAUGUAAGGCAGUCAGAAAAACGGAUUCCCAGGCUGAACUGGUAACUAGUGAUUAGUGUAUAUACCUAAGUAACUGCACUAUUGCUGAGGGCCUACAGGUAUACUCCUGGGCUAGUGAUAUUUCUCGGUUGUUGAGGAUAGGGGACCUCCUGAAGACCCUGAACCACAGUGAGAGCUUCUUUAGCUUCUAAAUUCCUGGGAUAAAUCUAGAAUCUGAAGAAUCUCCUUUACCUUUAGAGAUUGGAAGAAGGAUAGUACACUUUUUUUUUUUUUUUUUUUAAUUCCAGGAACAUACUGUCUGGAAAAAGAAAUCAGAUCAAAUCAGAUUUGGUCAUUUUUAGGGAAAUUUCCACUUGUAAAUCGGC